GACGAACGCUGGCGGCGUGCUUAACACAUGCAAGUCGAACGGAAAGGCCCUGCUUGCAGGGUACUCGAGUGGCGAACGGGUGAGUAACACGUGGGUGAUCUGCCCUGCACUUCGGGAUAAGCUUGGGAAACUGGGUCUAAUACCGGAUAGGAGCCAUCUUUCGUGUGGUGGUUGGAAAGUUUUUUCGGUGUAGGAUGAGCUCGCGGCCUAUCAGCUUGUUGGUGGGGUAAUGGCCUACCAAGGCGGCGACGGGUAGCCGGCCUGAGAGGGUGUACGGCCACAUUGGGACUGGGAUACGGCCCAGACUCCUACGGGAGGCAGCAGUGGGGAAUAUUGCACAAUGGGCGCAAGCCUGAUGCAGCGACGCCGCGUGGGGGAUGAAGGCCUUCGGGUUGUAAACUCCUUUCGCUAGGGACGAAGCUUGUUUGUGACGGUACCUAGAUAAGAAGCACCGGCUAACUACGUG
RNAcentral lists this ribosomal RNA (466 nucleotides) under uncultured bacterium. Its description in RNAcentral is "partial 16S ribosomal RNA". It matches the Rfam family "Bacterial small subunit ribosomal RNA", at positions 28 to 507 of the family's 1533-position model. The record is from RNAcentral.